CACGAAGUUAGCCGGGGCUUCUUCUCCCGCUACCGUCAUUAUCGUCGCGGGCGAAAGAGCUUUACAACCCUAAGGCCGUCAUCACUCACGCGGCAUGGCUGGAUCAGGCUUGCGCCCAUUGUCCAAUAUUCCCCACUGCUGCCUCCCGUAGGAGUUUGGGCCGUGUCUCAGUCCCAAUGUGGCUGGCCAUCCUCUCAGACCAGCUAUCGAUCGUCGCCAUGGUGGGCCGUUACCCCGCCAUCAAGCUAAUCGAACGCGGGCCAAUCCUUCGGCGGUCAAGCCUUUCCCCAAGCCUCGCGGCCAGGGCGUAUCCGGUAUUAGCGUCCGUUUCCAAACGUUGUUCCGAACCGAAGGGUAUGUUCCCACGUGUUACUCACCCGUCUGCCACUCCCGAUUGCUCGGGCGUUCGACUUGCAUGUGUUAAGCCUGCCGCCAGCGUUCGUUCUGAGCCAGGAUCAAACUCU
This 464-nucleotide ribosomal RNA is filed under the name uncultured Hyphomicrobiales bacterium. RNAcentral's name for it is "uncultured Rhizobiales bacterium partial 16S ribosomal RNA". Lineage: Bacteria; Pseudomonadati; Pseudomonadota; Alphaproteobacteria; Hyphomicrobiales. The record is from RNAcentral.